This 828-nucleotide ribosomal RNA is filed under the name Nitrospinaceae bacterium. Its description in RNAcentral is "bacterial SSU rRNA". It matches the Rfam family "Archaeal small subunit ribosomal RNA", at positions 454 to 1284 of the family's 1478-position model. The record is from RNAcentral. Lineage: Bacteria; Pseudomonadati; Nitrospinota; Nitrospinia; Nitrospinales; Nitrospinaceae.
GGUGCCAGCCGCCGCGGUAACACCGGCACCCCGAGUGGUAGCCACUAUUAUUGGGCCUAAAGCGUUCGUAGCCGGUUUGGUAAAUUCUUGGGUAAAUCGUACCGCUCAACGGUGCGGAUUCCGGGGAGACUGCCAGGCUUGAGACCGGGGGAGAUCAGAGGUACUUGCGGGGGAGCGGUGAAAUGUUGUAAUCCCACAGGGACCACCAAUGGCGAAGGCAUCUGAUCAAAACGGCUCUGACGGUGAGGGACGAAACCCUGGGGCGCAAACGGGAUUAGAUACCCCGGUAGUCCAGGGCGUAAACGCUGCUGACUUGGUGUUGGGGGUCCCACGAGGGCGUCCAGUGCCGGCGCGAAGGCAUUUAGUCAGCCGCCUGGGGAGUACGGUCGCAAGACUGAAACUUAAAGGAAUUGGCGGGGGAGCACUGCAACGGGUGGAGCGUGCGGUUUAAUUGGAUUCAACGCCGGAAAACUCACCGGGGGCGACGAUUACAUGAAGGCCAGGCUGAUGACCUUGCCUGAUUUUUCGAGAGGAGGUGCAUGGCCGUCGCCAGUUCGUACCGUAAGGCGUUCUGUUAAGUCAGAUAACGAACGAGACCCUCAUUGCCAUUUGCUAGGCUCCUCUCCGGAGGGGUUGCACUAUGGCGAUACCGCCACUGCUGAAGUGGAGGAAGGAGGGGGCAACGGUAGGUCAGUAUGCCCCGAAUCUCCCGGGCUACACGCGCGCUACAAAGGGCAGGACAAUGGGCUUCGACACCGAAAGGUGGAGGCAAUCCCGAAACCUGCUCGUAAUUCGGAUUGAGGGCUGCAAUUCGCCCUCAUGAAGCUG